UAAGAGUUAGUUUAUAAUAGAAUUGUUGACUGUUAAUCAAAAGGAUUAUCUCUUAAG
This 57-nucleotide transfer RNA is filed under the name Macropostrongyloides baylisi. RNAcentral describes it as "tRNA-Asn". The record is from RNAcentral. Lineage: Eukaryota; Metazoa; Nematoda; Chromadorea; Rhabditida; Strongylidae.